Molecule: ribosomal RNA, 485 nt
Filed under: uncultured Pelotomaculum sp.
Lineage: Bacteria; Bacillati; Bacillota; Clostridia; Eubacteriales; Desulfotomaculaceae
Description: bacterial SSU rRNA
Rfam family: Bacterial small subunit ribosomal RNA
Source: RNAcentral
CUUAAAAUGAAUUGACGGGGCCCGCGACAAGCGGUGGAGCAUGUGGUUAAUUCGACGCAACGCGAAGAACCUUACCAGGGCUUGACAUCCCCUGACCGCGUAUGAAAGUACGUUUUCACCUCGGGUGACAGGGAGACAGGUGGUGCAUGGUUGUCGUCAGCUCGUGUCGUGAGAUGUUGGGUUAAGUCCCGCAACGAGCGCAACCCCUACGUUUAGUUGCUAACGCGUGAAGGCGAGCACUCUAGACGAACUGCCGUUGACAAAACGGAGGAAGGUGGGAUGACGUCAAAUCAUCAUGCCCCUUAUGUUCUGGGCUACACACGUGCUACAAUGGCCGGUACAGACGGACGCAAAGCCGCGAGGUGGAGCAAAUCCUAAAAAGCCGGUCUCAGUUCGGAUUGCAGGCUGCAAUUCGCCUGCAUGAAGUCGGAAUCGCUAGUAAUCGCAGGUCAGCAUACUCGCGGUCGAAUACGUUCCCGGGCCUU